GUCGGACUUUGAAUAUUGAAUUGAUUUAAAAAUCAGGUUUGUCAGAACCUGAAAAUAUUUCCCCGGCUUUUAAACUUGCAAGUUGUAAGUGUAGAAAAUUUUCGGUUACACAGGAACUCAACCCUUGUUGACCAUUAUUUUGGCUAUAGAUAGGUGAGAAAGAACAUAUGAAGAGAACUUGAUGUAACUAAUUAUUAAGUCUUAUUUGUUAAUUUAUGUAUACACAUAAGUAGUAAUACACAUUAAGCGAUAAUUUAUGUGUUAAUGAAUUGUUUGAAAAUAAUUUAUCCGAAUUUGAUUAAUUUCAGCACUCUCAACUGAAUUUUCGCACAUGUGUUUGACUUACUUCGGUACAGUUAAAAAAUGUCAAAUUCCAUCCCUGUCAUACAUGCCACAAUGUUACACAUAUUCAAGCAGAUUCAGCUGCUCUCGGAGGAAUCGCGCCUGUGUAGGGCACCGUCCCUUUAGCGGCAUAAUGUUAUUUCAUCGCUGUCUCAACAAAGACUAAACGAUAGAGCGUAAGCGCACGUGUGAAGUUAGCAAUUGUGUUAUGAAAUGCCGACAACUAAUUAAAAUAUUUUUAAGUCAUUGAAUAUAUAUAUCGGUGACUCCUAUGAAACUGGAGGAAAAUGACUAUCACGUUAAUGGAUUCCAUCAUGCAGUUCCAGUCUCAGAACAUACUUAUACGCCCAAAUUCGCAUCAUGAUCUGAGGAUAAAUUACAGGGAAAGCUACCCAAAUCUUAAUCAACAGCAACACUAAGCAAAACUUCGAUGCUGAUUGACAGAUUUUACGAUUCAUACGCUUACCAGCGACCACAAUACGUUCUAGAAUACGUUCGUCUGAAUAGUAAUGCAUGUCUACUAUGAUUAAGCUUUAAAUGUUGUCCUCUGAAAAGUAGAAAUGACGCAACAGAAGUAUAGUCAAUAGCGGUCAGAAUCUUAAUAUCUGGAGAACGCCGCAUUCCAACAAAAGAUGAUCCUUAUUCACGAGCAUGUGCUACUCAUUUCGAAGCAAAUGGGAUCGCGGGAACCAUGCAACAUGACUUAUACUAUCAAUAAUUAGAGUAUGUACCAAGAAUGUACUUUAGUAGAACUUUAUACAAAGUUUCCAUGUAUUUGGGUUGAAAAUGACAUUACAUAUGAUAACUUUAAUAAUCGACGCCGUGAUAUUUAGAUUGCACACAUGCAUACAGUGAUUAUAAUUUUGAAAAUAGUUUAUGUAUGACAAAAAAAUAUUUGGAUAGUGAAAUUGCGAAAAAUAUGUUCCGAUGAAAACUACGUUGUAAAUGAAAAAAAAAUUGCUUUUGAAUCACCAUACUUCUACUAGGAACACAUUGCCUUUCUUCAAGUGGGUCGCCACAUGAAUGUUCAAUAUGUGAAGAAGUACUUUCUAGUUUUAGUAUGCAUCUAAUUCGUUCUAGACCAUCACCAACAAAA
This is a non-coding RNA of Bactrocera oleae (olive fruit fly), 1438 nucleotides long. Lineage: Eukaryota; Metazoa; Arthropoda; Insecta; Diptera; Tephritidae. The record is from RefSeq and is a predicted model, not a curated record.